This 253-nucleotide ribosomal RNA is filed under the name uncultured bacterium. RNAcentral describes it as "partial 16S ribosomal RNA". It matches the Rfam family "Bacterial small subunit ribosomal RNA", at positions 524 to 776 of the family's 1533-position model. The record is from RNAcentral.
UACGUAGGGGGCAAGCGUUGUCCGGAUUUAUUGGGCGUAAAGAGCGUGUAGGCGGCUGGGUAGGUCCGUUGUGAAAACUCGAGGCUCAACCUCGAGACGCCGAUGGAAACCAUCCAGCUAGAGUCCGGAAGAGGAGAGUGGAAUUCCUGGUGUAGCGGUGAAAUGCUCAGAUAUUACGCAGAACGCCGAUUGCGAAGGCAGAUAACUACUAAUAGAUUGACGCUGAGGCACGAAAGUGUGGGGAGCGAACAGG